This 256-nucleotide ribosomal RNA is filed under the name uncultured bacterium. RNAcentral describes it as "partial 16S ribosomal RNA". It matches the Rfam family "Bacterial small subunit ribosomal RNA", at positions 524 to 776 of the family's 1533-position model. The record is from RNAcentral.
UACGUAGGGUCCGAGCGUUUGUCCGGAAUUACUGGGCGUAAAGAGCUCGUAGGUGGUUUGAUCGCGUUGUUCGUGAAAACUCACAGCUCAACUGUGGGCGUGCGGGCGAUACGGGCAGACUGGAGUACUGCAGGGGAGGACUGGAAUUCCUGGUGUAGCGGUGGAAUGCGCAGAUAUCAGGAGGAACACCGGUGGCGAAGGCGGGUCUCUGGGCAGUAACUGACGCUGAGGAGCGAAAGCGUGGGGAGCGAACAGG